Haliotis rubra (blacklip abalone) is the source of this 258-nucleotide long non-coding RNA. RefSeq lists it as uncharacterized. The transcript has 2 exons. Lineage: Eukaryota; Metazoa; Mollusca; Gastropoda; Lepetellida; Haliotidae. The record is from RefSeq and is a predicted model, not a curated record.
AUAUGCAUAUUUAUGUAUGUAUUAGGGUAAAUAACUAUUUAUGUGUUCGCUAAUGCCAUUUAUGAUGUAUAUCUGUAUAUACUAGCAGUAUACUUAGGUAAUAUUUUGUUUAUUUAGGUUCACUAAGAAUCAGAUGUUUUAGUACCUGUUGGACUAUUCUGCCUGCGUCCCUGAGACGAGGGCGUUUUGUUAUAAUUCUGCCAACUGGGGAUCUCCUUAUCCAACGUAACCAGCGCCGAAUAAAUCCCUGAAACCACA